Molecule: ribosomal RNA, 497 nt
Filed under: uncultured bacterium
Lineage: Bacteria
Description: partial 16S ribosomal RNA
Rfam family: Bacterial small subunit ribosomal RNA
Source: RNAcentral
GAUGAACGCUGGCGGCGUGCCUAAUACAUGCAAGUCGAGCGAACAGAUAAGGAGCUUGCUCCUUUGAAGUUAGCGGCGGACGGGUGAGUAACACGUGGGUAACCUACCUAUAAGACUGGGAUAACUUCGGGAAACCGGAGCUAAUACCGGAUAACAUUUAGAACCGCAUGGUUCUAAAGUGAAAGAUGGUUUUGCUAUCACUUAUAGAUGGACCCGCGCCGUAUUAGCUAGGUGGUAAGGUAACGGCUUACCAAGGCGACGAUACGUAGCCGACCUGAGAGGAUGAUCAGGCACACUGGAACUGAGACACGGUCCAGGCUGCUAUGAGAGGCAGCCGUCGGGGAUAUUGGGCUAUGGGCGAACGCCUGAUACAGCAAUGCCGCGUGUGUUAAAAAGGUCUGCGGAUUGUAAAGCACUUUAAGUUGGGAGGAAGGGAAGUACGUUAAUCCCUUGAUGUUGUGACGUUAACAACAGAAUAAGCACCGGCUAACUUCGUG